This 485-nucleotide ribosomal RNA is filed under the name uncultured bacterium. RNAcentral describes it as "partial 16S ribosomal RNA". It matches the Rfam family "Bacterial small subunit ribosomal RNA", at positions 30 to 506 of the family's 1533-position model. The record is from RNAcentral.
AUUGAACGCUGGCGGCAUGCCUUACACAUGCAAGUCGAACGGCAGCACGGGUGCUUGCACCUGGUGGCGAGUGGCGAACGGGUGAGUAAUACAUCGGAACAUGUCCUGUAGUGGGGGAUAGCCCGGCGAAAGCCGGAUUAAUACCGCAUACGAUCUACGGAUGAAAGCGGGGGACCUUCGGGCCUCACGCUAUAGGGUUGGCCGAUGGCUGAUUAGCUAGUUGGUGGGGUAAAGGCCUACCAAGGCGACGAUCAGUAGCUGGUCUGAGAGGACGACCAGCCACACUGGGACUGAGACACGGCCCAGACUCCUACGGGAGGCAGCAGUGGGGAAUUUUGGACAAUGGGCGAAAGCCUGAUCCAGCAAUGCCGCGUGUGUGAAGAAGGCCUUCGGGUUGUAAAGCACUUUUGUCCGGAAAGAAAUCCUUGGCCCUAAUACGGUCGGGGGAUGACGGUACCGGAAGAAUAAGCACCGGCUAACUACGU